Teleopsis dalmanni is the source of this 3064-nucleotide RNA transcript. It is a transcript of the gene named sodium-dependent neutral amino acid transporter B(0)AT3, with no coding region annotated. Lineage: Eukaryota; Metazoa; Arthropoda; Insecta; Diptera; Diopsidae. The transcript is spliced from 10 exons. The record is from RefSeq and is a predicted model, not a curated record.
AAAUUCAAACAUAAAAUAUAUACAAUUAAGGUUGAAAAACGAGAAAAAAUUGUCGUAAAUUUUUUAUUUGUUGAUGGCUGCUACUAAAAUAAUUGAUGCACCUCGAAAUGGCCAUGAAAUGGCGCCACUGAAUACACGCGCCCGCGGCGAUGGCACCCAUGGAGUUACAAUUGUGCUCACUGCACCUCAACGCAAUUCUGUCAGUUCAGUCGACAUACCCGGCGAACCAGAGCGAGCAGCAUGGUCUGGCAAGAUGCAAUUUUUCCUCAGUAUUAUUGGCUACUCAGUGGGGUUGGGAAACAUUUGGCGUUUUCCCUACUUAUGUCAACAGAACGGGGGCGGUGCCUUCCUGAUACCAUUCAUGGUUAUGUUAGUGCUGGAAGGUAUUCCGCUCUUCCUCAUUGAGCUGGGCAUGGGUCAGCGCAUGCGUUUGGGUGCGCUUGGUGUUUGGAAUACCAUACAUCCCUGGUUGGGUGGAAUUGGCAUAUCAUCCUGCAUAGUAACAUUAUUCGUUGCACUCUACUACAACGUCAUCAUAACGUGGGUCUUUUACUAUUUAUUUAACAGUUUUCGGUAUCCCUUACCAUGGGCUUCGUGUCCUACAAAUGGCAGCGCGGUGGUAGAAGAAUGUGCGCGUUCAUCAGAAACAGCUUAUUUUUGGUAUCGCACUACUCUAGACGCAGCUCCUUCUAUGGAUGAGUCAGGCGGUCUAAAAUGGUGGAUAGUGUUAUGUUUGCUGCUCUCAUGGACCGUGGUCUUCUUUAUUGUUAUGAAGGGUAUACAAAGUUCCGGCAAAGUGGUUUACUUUACUUCACUUUUUCCAUAUAUUGUGCUGACAAUUUUCUUCAUACGCGGUAUAACUCUGCGUGGAGCUAGUGCCGGUUUAAUGCACAUGUACACACCUAAAGUAGAAAAGUUAGCAGAUCCAACGGUGUGGCUUGACGCGGCUACACAAGUCUUCUAUUCCUUCGGACUAGCGUUUGGUUCACUUAUUGCGUUCGGAAGCUACAACACUCCUAAAAACAAUUGCGUCCGCGAUGUUUUGCUGGUCUCAGUUUGCAAUGCUGUGACGGCGAUCUAUGCGAGUGUUGUUAUCUUCGCUAUUCUCGGAUUUAAGGCCACUGUAAAUGUGGAUCGCUGCAUAGACCUCAAUAAGGAAAUUUUGGUAAAACAUAAGCUUUUACCAUUCACCAACGCUACAAUGUCGGAGUAUGAGAAUGUGAUGAAAACACUUAACGGUAAUGAAACGAAGACUUUGGAAUUGGAGGAGUGCAGUCUUUCGCAGCAAUUAGAUAACGCUGCUGAAGGUACUGGUCUUGCCUUUAUUGUUUUCACCCAGGCCAUUGUCGAACUGCCGGGAGCACCGUUCUGGGCGGUGCUUUUCUUUACUAUGCUGCUAUCGCUAGGAUUGGGUUCGCAAAUUGGCAUCCUGGAGGGCAUGUUGUGCACACUGUUCGACAUAGACAUUAUAAAGCGGGUUAAGAAACAACAUGUGACUGGUGUGGUAUGUCUGUUCUGCUUUAUUGUCGGUUUAAUCUUCUGUACAGGUGCAGGCGAAUACUGGUUGAAAAUGUUUGACUCUUUUGCUGGUACCAUUGGCUUGGUAGUGGUGGCUUUAAUGGAGAUGAUAGCCGUUGUUUACAUAUAUGGACAUGAGAGGUUUACGGAGGAUAUUUACCAAAUGACUGGCUAUCGACCGGGCAUAUAUUGGCAGCUUACUUGGCGUUAUAUUGGGCCUGUUAUAAUGGUUGCUAUAUUGGCUUCAUCUGUAGUGUUUAUGAUAAUUAAGAAUCCAACUUACAGUGCUUGGAAUGCCGAAUUGGGUCAAGUGGUACAAACAAGCUAUCCAACUUGGAUUAUGGGCAUUGCCUUGGCCAUGAUAUUAGCGGGUAUAUUACCGAUGCCAAUUGUGUUCCUUAUGCGCAGUUUCCAAUGCCUGAAGGUUGAUUUGGAUAUACACCAGGGCUCAAUACGGAGAAACGAAACAACAGCAUCGACGAAGGAAAUGAUCAACAAUGACGAUGAUGAUGUCAUGAGUCCGGACAUGCCACCUCAAGAUUCAUUAGCGGCGACACGCUUUACUAUUGGAGAUUUCGAAAACUAAUUUAUUUUAAACGUAUACAACUCAAAUCACAAAGGAUAAUAAUAUAUGGAUUCUCAACUCAGAAAAGGCUUUAAAAUUCAAUAAGAAAAGUCAAAAAAAUAUUCUGGAAAACACAAAUCAAAAACAUAACUCAAGCCUUUAAAAGGUAAAAAUAUAAAGAUUAGCUUUAGCGAUUAGUUACAAGGAAUACGCAUCGAUAUUAAUAUUAUAAACGUCAUUAACUUAAUCGACUCCAUUGAAAUCGUUCAUCUGACAUUGUCCAUAAAAACGAGUGCAUCCAAUGAAAAAACCACUAAACACAUUUUCGAAAAGAUUUUAAAAGCAAUCUUAUUCGCGCCUUCUAUGAGAAAAGGAUAAACUAGUACUUAACGUUACUUUACACUUUAUAUGCAACAGAAACUUUUAACAAUUAUAGAUAUACAAAUAAGGAUAUAAGUACAACGUCGUUUCUCUAAUCUUAAGUCUAAUUUAAACGGCAACAAUCUCGCAUACUGAUAGCUAAAUUAAGCAAAUCGUUUACAAAACAAAAACUUGAAUUGCAAUUAAAUUUAACACAAGCAAUUAUAUAAUUAUUAAAUUAAAAAAAAAUUAAUAUUGAACUAAGCUAAGUUUAAAGCCCAGAAGGAUAGCUCAAGUUUCGAUAAUUAUAAGCUAAGUAAGUUUUGAUUGGAUUGGAUUUAUUCUACUUGAUGUAGCUCCGGUUAGCAGUUAUAUUACCCAUGUAUUAAUAAUUAGUUCUUAUAACUCAAAAAUGAUUUGAAUGUACAAUAAUUUAUCGUGUGGUGUGGAAUUAGUUUUGCUGGCUUUUAUUAAAAUUUAUAUUAACAUCAAACAGUUUUGGUUAAAAGCAAAGCACGAAAGGCGUACUGCUAAAAGUAUGAUGAUGACUUCAGUGGCCCAGCAUUGGGUGGACAUGUCAAAACCAAUAGCGACUAUUCGGACGAGGAUGAUGAUGAGGAU